Molecule: ribosomal RNA, 253 nt
Filed under: uncultured bacterium
Lineage: Bacteria
Description: partial 16S ribosomal RNA
Rfam family: Bacterial small subunit ribosomal RNA
Source: RNAcentral
UACGUAGGGGGCAAGCGCUGUCCGGAAUUAUUGGGCGUAAAGAGCGUGUAGGCGGCCAGAUAAGUCCGCUGUGAAAUCUCGAGGCUCAACUUCGAGCUGUCGGUGGAAACUAUCUGGCUAGAGUCCGGAAGAGGAGAAUGGAAUUCCUGGUGUAGCGGUGAAAUGCGCAGAUAUCAGGAAGAACACCCGUGGCGAAGGCGGUUCUCUGGGACGGUACUGACGCUGAGACGCGAAAGCGUGGGGAGCGAACAGG